This 492-nucleotide ribosomal RNA is filed under the name uncultured bacterium. RNAcentral describes it as "partial 16S ribosomal RNA". It matches the Rfam family "Bacterial small subunit ribosomal RNA", at positions 29 to 507 of the family's 1533-position model. The record is from RNAcentral.
AGUGAACGCUGGCGGCAGGCCUAACACAUGCAAGUCGAACGGACGCACAGUAAGAGCUUGCUCUUACGGGUGGCGAGUGGCGGACGGGUGACGAAUACAUCGGAAUCUACUUUUUCGUGGGGGAUAACGUAGGGAAACUUACGCUAAUACCGCAUACGAUCUACGGGUGAAAGCAGGGGAUCUUCGGACCUUGCGCGUUUGAAUGAGCCGAUGUCGGAUUAGCUAGUUGGCGGGGUAAAGGCCCACCAAGGCAACGAUCCGUAGCUGGUCUGAGAGGAUGAUCAGCCACACUGGAACUGAGACACGGUCCAGACUCCUACGGGAGGCAGCAGUGGGGAAUAUUGGACAAUGGGCGCAAGCCUGAUCCAGCCAUACCGCGUGAGUGAAGAAGGCCUUCGGGUUGUAAAGCCCUUUUGUUGGGAAAGAAAAUCAGCAUGUUAAUACCCCGCUGUUCUGACGGUACCCAAACAAUAAGCACCGGCUAACUUCGUG